UGCCAGCCGCCGCGGUAAUACGGAGGGUGCAAGCGUUGUUCGGAAUUACUGGGCGUAAAGCGGGCGCAGGCGGUCUGGUAGGUUGGAUGUGAAAGCCCAGGGCUCAACCCUGGAACUGCAUCCAAAACCCCCAGACUUGAGUACGAGAGAGGAGGGCGGAAUUCCUGGUGUAGAGGUGAAAUUCGUAGAUAUCUGGAAGAACACCAGAGGCGAAGGCGGUCUCUUGGUCCGUAACUGACGCUAAGGCGCGAAAGCGUGGGGAGCAAACAGGAUUAGAUA
Molecule: ribosomal RNA, 279 nt
Filed under: uncultured bacterium
Lineage: Bacteria
Description: partial 16S ribosomal RNA
Rfam family: Bacterial small subunit ribosomal RNA
Source: RNAcentral